ACGGUUCCACGUCACCGACCCUCCGCCUCUUGGGUUCGGGAGGUGGUUCCAUCUCAGCCGCCCUCUGCCUCUUGGGUUUGCGUGGUUUUUCUGCCUCAGCCUCCUGAGUAGCUAAGGGAGGUGUCUUGAGAUUAUCAUCCGCUGAGGGUGGAAGCGGCCCCCGCAGACGCUCCCCGCAGACGCUCGGCAGGUGUCUUGAUAUUAUCAUCUGCUGAGGGUGGAGCUGAGGGUGGAAAGGGAGUGAGCUGACGCUCGGAAGGUGUCUUGAGAUUAUCAUCUGCUGAGGGUGGAAGCGGCCCCCGCAGACGCUCGGCAGGUGUCUUGAUAUUAUCAUCUGCUGAGGGUGGAGCUGAGGGUGGAAGGGGAGUGAGCUGACGCUCGGAAGGUGUCUUGAGAUUAUCAUCCGCUCAGGGUGGAAGCGGCCCCCGCAGACGCUCGGCAGGUGUCUUGAUAUUAUCAUCUGCUGAGGGUGGAAGGGCAGUGAGCUGACGCUCGGAAGGUGUCUUGAGAUUAUCAUCCGCUGAGGGUGGAAGGGGAGUGAGCAGACACUCAGGAGGUGUCUUGAGAUUAUCAUCCGCUGAGGGUGGAAGGGGAGUGAGCAGACACUCGGGAGGUGUCUUGAGGCUCAGGGAGUUAUCAGUUAUAGAAUGUUGUUGAGUUGGAGGAGGUGGCUGGUGGCCCAUCCUGU
This 688-nucleotide long non-coding RNA is filed under the name Homo sapiens (human). RNAcentral describes it as "HSALNT0384965". Lineage: Eukaryota; Metazoa; Chordata; Mammalia; Primates; Hominidae. The record is from RNAcentral.